This 1173-nucleotide long non-coding RNA is filed under the name Macaca mulatta (Rhesus monkey). RNAcentral's name for it is "lncRNA (ENSMMUG00000052893.1)". The record is from RNAcentral. Lineage: Eukaryota; Metazoa; Chordata; Mammalia; Primates; Cercopithecidae.
AUGGGGAAAAAAAACCCAACAACUUCCGAAUGGAAGAGGGAAUCAUUUCUCCUCCUGACUACGCAAUCGUCUUACAAGAGCCUUAUUCAGAGCAGCCGGCAGGGAAUUAUAUUUUCACAAACUGAUUUAUGGCCCAGCCCGAAUACUGCCUGUUUCAAUAGGACUUCCGCAAGCAGAUUUAGACUUGAGUUACACGGUGGGUCCGUUCAGAACCAUCUUCCUCUACGACGAAACGUUUUCGUGACAAAAGUGGCCCAAAUCAACGCACUGGUGCUCCUUAGAAUUCUCGGCCUGGCAGCGAACACGCUUCAGGAGGCCUGCGUGGCUGUCGCCUGCAUGGGCCUUCCCAGCGAGCUGUGUUUGUUUUCUGAAGCGUGCUUAAUGUGGGCCCAGCCACGGGACACAAUUGCUUCAUUUCUAUUCUCGGCAGCGGCCAUGCCUACAUUACAACCGCCUGCCUGGGCCCACACAAGAUUUCCAGAGAAAUGAGCAUGGCAUUAAACACCCCGUUUUACAUGAGGAGAAAGCAGCAAAAGGCAGUCGGGCCUGGCAGCCUCACUCCCUCCCCAGAGAUGUCUGAGUGGACCGGAAGGCCUCGUGGGGGUCACCUUUGCCUCAAGGAAUAAUUCCCCUCCAGGAAAGUCCCCGCCAUCAUCCUUUAUAAAAAGACUUCCAUUGCCGGCGAGGGAGUUAUUUCUGAGACAGCACUGCCAACAAAUGUAACCCUUUGGGAAAAGUGCUAAGUCAAGCUGGGAUUCCCCACCGAGGGCUCCGGAGCCUCUGCAGUCUCUCAGGAAAAGACAAUCUUGGUAUAAGCGUAUUAAUGUCGCUUUUCUUGAACCGCAAAGGGGGAAUGGGAGGAGGGUUCUCCCAAUUUUACCAGAAUAAAAAUGCCCUGAGGAAACAUUUGACUUUGGAAUUUUUAAUUGGAAUCAUGAAAAGAAAGAAAUGGGGAGUGGAGAAGGAAAGAAAAUUGGUUUCCCAUUCUAUUCUCGGUCUUUCUGUCGGGCUGAACUUUGAAAUGCUGAGUUUUGUCCUGGGUGGGUGAGUCCAGGGAAGAUGAAGGCCCCACGCUGGGGAGUGAUCUGGAAGGGUCCCAGAUGUUCAAAUCGAGAUUCUUCAUCUUUCCCCGGAGCCAUCUCAUCCUGUGGUUUCCUUGGCUGUUCAUUGACC